RNAcentral lists this ribosomal RNA (445 nucleotides) under uncultured bacterium. RNAcentral's name for it is "bacterial SSU rRNA". It matches the Rfam family "Bacterial small subunit ribosomal RNA", at positions 354 to 796 of the family's 1533-position model. The record is from RNAcentral.
GUAAGGAAUAUUGGUCAAUGGACGCAAGUCUGAACCAGCCAUGCCGCGUGCAGGAUGAAGGUCCUCUGGAUUGUAAACUGCUUUUCUCUGGGAAGAAAUCCUUGAUUUCUAUCGAGGUUGACGGUACCAGAGGAAUAAGCACCGGCUAACUCCGUGCCAGCAGCCGCGGUAAUACGGAGGGUGCAAGCGUUAUCCGGAUUUACUGGGUUUAAAGGGUGCGUAGGCGGAUUGGAAAGUCAGUGGUGAAAUACUCCGACUUAAUCGGAGAACCGCCGUUGAUACUAUCAAUCUUGAAUGUGGUUGAGGCGGGCGGAAUGUGUCGUGUAGCGGUGAAAUGCUUAGAUAUGACACAGAACACCCAUUGCGAAGGCAGCUCGCUAAACCACCAUUGACGCUGAGGCACGAAAGCGUGGGGAGCAAACAGGAUUAGAAACCCUUGUAGUCC